RNAcentral lists this transfer RNA (62 nucleotides) under Oides maculatus. Its description in RNAcentral is "tRNA-Thr". Lineage: Eukaryota; Metazoa; Arthropoda; Insecta; Coleoptera; Chrysomelidae. The record is from RNAcentral.
GUUUUAAUAAUUUAAUUAAAAUAUUGAUUUUGUAAAUCAAAAAUAAGGUAACUUUUAAAACU